CGAAGGAUGCAAGCGUUAUCCGGAUUUAUUGGGUUUAAAGGGAGCGUAGGCGGUCUUAUAAGUCAGUGGUGAAAUCUUGUCGCUUAACGACAAACGUGCCAUUGAUACUGUAGGACUUGAGUACAGACGCCGUUGGCGGAAUGUGUCAUGUAGCGGUGAAAUGCAUAGAUAUGACACAGAACACCGAUUGCGAAGGCAGCUGACGAAACUGUAACUGACGCUGAGGCUCGAAAGCGUGGGGAUCAAACAGGAUUAGAUACCCUGGUAGUCCACGCCCUAAACUAUGAUUACUCGCUGUCGGCGAUAUACAGCCGGUAGCUAAGCGAAAGCGUUAAGUAAUCCACCUGGGGAGUACGCCCGCAAGGGUG
RNAcentral lists this ribosomal RNA (368 nucleotides) under uncultured organism. Its description in RNAcentral is "bacterial SSU rRNA". It matches the Rfam family "Bacterial small subunit ribosomal RNA", at positions 526 to 896 of the family's 1533-position model. The record is from RNAcentral.